GCUGGGCAUUGUGGCGCGUGCCUGUAGUCCCAGCUACUUGGGAGGCCUGAGGCAGAAGAAUCGCUUGAACCUGGGAGGCUGAGAUUGCAGUGAGCCGAGAUUGUGCCACUGCACUCCAGCCUGGGUAACAGAGAGAGACUCUGUCUCAA
This 149-nucleotide non-coding RNA is filed under the name Pan paniscus (pygmy chimpanzee). The record is from Rfam by way of RNAcentral. Lineage: Eukaryota; Metazoa; Chordata; Mammalia; Primates; Hominidae. RNAcentral also lists the same sequence under 1 other name.